GGGUCAAUGAUGACUUCCCAAUGUCAUGAAGAUAGGUGAUGACAAUGCAAAAUAAAAUUAAUGUGGGAAUAAGCUGAAGCCC
This is a small nucleolar RNA of Grammomys surdaster, 82 nucleotides long. RefSeq annotates it as small nucleolar RNA SNORD115. Lineage: Eukaryota; Metazoa; Chordata; Mammalia; Rodentia; Muridae. The record is from RefSeq and is a predicted model, not a curated record. The transcript has a single exon.